UUUGGUCCCCGGCCCUCCUCCGAUCGCCUAGCAACCGUCUGCGGACCCGGUGCUGCCCGCGGCCCAGGCAGCUCCGCUCUCAGGUUGUGGGUCCUCCCGGCGAGACACAAUUCGGAAAGCACCGAGGCCUGUGUUAACCGUUCCUGUGCCGACAGCUAUGUAGCAGAACCAAAGGAAAGUUUUUUGUUCAUCGCUCUUUCUCGCUGCUUCUCUCGUCCUGGCAGGACGUUUCCUUGGGUCAGAAAAGAGAAAGGAAAGGCAGAGAGUCAGCCUGCCGUUACAGGACUGGAAGGUGGUAGAGACGGCCUCCAGCCUCCCAGUCUGUAACACUACCCAGUACUGCCGCUCUCGCGUUGCACCUGAGACCUCUCUCUGAAGAAACCUUUCCACUCCUGCAGUGGACUUGCAAGUCCCAAAAUGGCCCCGGCUGCUUUUUUUUUUUUUUUUUUAAUGUAUUGGCCUGACUUGCUCUUGAGUGCAACUUGAAUCCAAGAGGAGCUACUACUCAUUUUUGGAGUUCCUAUGUCCUCCCCUUAAUGACAUGUCCUAGAAUCUUGCCGUUCAUAGUCAUGAACGGACUGGCAGCCUCUGUUUUUACCUCCUUUCUGAUAACCUAGGUUUCAGUCUUCUGGCCUACCUUAUGAGAUGUUAUGAUUUAGAAGAAGGAAUAUGUAUAUUUGGUCUUCAUUUCAUUCCUGGCUCAAAGUUCCUAAAACCCUUGGAAUUUCCUGAGUGAUAUGAACACUAGGAGCAUCUUCUGUUCUAAUAUUUGGUCAUUGACUGUGGUUGCAUUGGUUCCAAGCUCUUGAACUUGGCACCCUCCCAUACCCUAGCCUGUUGUAUCUCUUCAUCUGGCUGUUCAUCUGUAUCCUUUAUCCUUUAAUAAAUCGGUGAGUGUAAACAAGU
Callorhinus ursinus (northern fur seal) is the source of this 906-nucleotide long non-coding RNA. RefSeq lists it as uncharacterized. The record is from RefSeq and is a predicted model, not a curated record. NCBI's taxonomy places the organism in Eukaryota, Metazoa, Chordata, Mammalia, Carnivora, Otariidae.